This 1935-nucleotide ribosomal RNA is filed under the name Triticum aestivum (bread wheat). RNAcentral's name for it is "partial small subunit ribosomal RNA". Lineage: Eukaryota; Viridiplantae; Streptophyta; Magnoliopsida; Poales; Poaceae. The record is from RNAcentral.
AUGAGGGCACAGCUCGCUCCGGCCCUCCUCCUCCUCCUCCUCACGGUUGCCGCCGCGCCGCCCGUAUCGGCGAUGACUGCUGAGGAGGAAACCAAGGAGAAAUUGCUACAGGGCGCCCACAAAGAGGACCUCGCCAAUAAACUCAGUAUCGCGAGUGUCGACCCAGACGCUUAUGCAGCCGAGCAGAAAUUAGUUGGGCCCGAUAGCAAGAAGCAUGCCGCUAAGGAUGUCGUCGAUAACACAAGCUAUAUUAUGGGUGUUGUGCCUGAGAAGAAACCUGAAAGUAAGAGUGACGAGAAGAAACUCAAGGAGGAGGCCAAGGUCAUCGCUCAAGUCAAAGGACAGAUGAACUACGAGGAUGCCGUCGCUGAGAAGAAUGCCAAGGAGGAGAAGAAAUCCAAACUCAAGGGUGACAUCUCCGAGGACGAUGAUGCUGAGAAGAAGGAGAAGAAAUCAAAAAACAAAGACGGCGACAAGGAGGAGGACAAAGAGAAGAAAUCUAAAAAUAAGGAUGAUGACGAUGCUGAGAAAAAGGAGAAGAAUUCCAAAAGCAAAGACGAGGACUCUAUAUAUGACACCAAGCAGAAAUCCAAAAACAAGGAUGAUGAUGAUGAUGAUGAUGAUGAGAAGAAAGAUAAGAAGUCUAAAAGCAAGGACGAUGAUGAUGACGACAAUGAUGGUGAGAAAAAAGAGAAGAAAUUGAAAAACAAGGAUGACGACGAUGAUGAUGAGAAGAAAGAAAAGAAAUUGAAAAACAAGGAUGAUGACGAUAAUGAGAAAAAGAAAGAGAAGAAAUCCAAAGAGAAAAGCGACUCGUCUGAGGAGGAUGACGCCGAGAAGAAAUCUAAAAGCAAGAGCGAGUCCUACGAGGACGACGAUGACAAUAAGAAUUCCAAAAGCAAAAGCAAGGCAUCAGACGAGGAUUUUGAUGCUGUCCCCAUGGAGGCCAAGGCCGACGAAUCUAUGCCAGGUGUCGACACGCCCGAUGAAUACCAAGCGUCGACGACUAAAGCCAAGCCACGGUUGCCCGCGGCUGACACCCCCGGUGGCUACACCGCGCGGACCGCGGCCCAACCAAAGAUGUCUGCAGCAGACACUCCCGACGGCUAUGCCACCCUGACAACGCAGAUGUCAGCUACUAACACACCAGACGGCUAUGUCACGCCGAGCAAGGCCCAGCCAGCGACAGACUCACCCAACGGCAACGUCCCUGCGACCGACUCACCCGACGGCAACGUCCCGGCGACAGACUCACCCGACGGCAACGUCCCCACGACCGACUCGCCCGACGGCAACGUCCCGGCGAUGGACUCGCCCGACGGCAAUGUUCAGGUGACCGACUCGCCCGAUGGCAAUGUCCCAGCGACCGACUCGCCCGACGGCUACGCGGCCCCGACGAAGCCCGAUGUGGACGUGCAGUCCUACUCGGAGACGGUGCCCCCGCCGGUGCUCCGGAUGCUGAGCCCGUUGGUGAAGUCCAUGUGCGCCAGGACGAGCUACCCGUACGAGUGUGAGGCAUCGAUCGCCAGGCUGCCGGAGACGGCGGCGGUGCCAGGGCGGCAGAAGAACCUCUUGGGCGUGCUGACACUGGCCAUAGAUGCCGUGCGCGCCAAGAUCGUGGAGGCGAAGAACGCGGCCACGGACGUGUCCAAGGACCCGCACGUGGACAAGCUCUCCAAGGGCGCCAUCAAAGACUGCAUCAGUAAUUACGACGACAUGAACUACGAGUUCGACUCGGCGCUGACCGCGCUCAAGCGAGGAGACAAGGGGACGGCGGGCAGCGCGCUCGACGCGGCGCGCACCGCUGUUGACACCUGCGACGAAGGUUUCCUCGACCGCCCGCAGCUGAAGCCAGUCCUGGGCGGUUACGAGAAGGUGCUCGCGGAGCUCUCAAGCAACGUCCUCGCCAUUAAUGCCAACGCCAAGAAGUAUUAG